RNAcentral lists this ribosomal RNA (468 nucleotides) under uncultured bacterium. RNAcentral's name for it is "partial 16S ribosomal RNA". It matches the Rfam family "Bacterial small subunit ribosomal RNA", at positions 28 to 507 of the family's 1533-position model. The record is from RNAcentral.
GGCGAACGCUGGCGGCGUGCUUAACACAUGCAAGUCGAACGGAAAGGCCCUGCUUUUGUGGGGUGCUCGAGUGGCGAACGGGUGAGUAACACGUGAGUAACCUGCCCUUGACUUUGGGAUAACUUCAGGAAACUGGGGCUAAUACCGGAUAGGAGCUCCUGCUGCAUGGUGGGGGUUGGAAAGUUUCGGCGGUUGGGGAUGGACUCGCGGCUUAUCAGCUGGUUGGUGGGGUAGUGGCUUACCAAGGCUUUGACGGGUAGCCGGCCUGAGAGGGUGACCGGCCACAUUGGGACUGAGAUACGGCCCAGACUCCUACGGGAGGCAGCAGUGGGGAAUAUUGCACAAUGGGCGGAAGCCUGAUGCAGCAACGCCGCGUGCGGGAUGACGGCCUUCGGGUUGUAAACCGCUUUCGCCUGUGACGAAGCGUGAGUGACGGUAAUGGGUAAAGAAGCACCGGCUAACUACGUG